AAGCAUAUCAGUAAGCGGAGGAAAAGAAAACAACUGUGAUUCCCUUAGUAACUGCGAGUGAAGCGGGAAAAGCCCAUCGUUAAAUCCUCCUGUCUAUAGGCAGGACGACGUGUAACGGUACGGAUAGGUCGACUACCAACAAAAUCCAAUCAAAGUCCUCCGGAUUGAGGUGCCAAAGAGGGUGACAGCCCCGUAUACGAUUGGACAAUGUUGGGUAUGUAGCCAAAUCCCAGAGUCGGGUUGUUUGGGACUGCAACCUAAAGCAGGUGGUAAACUCCACCCAAGGCUAAAUAUAGACACGAAACCGAUAGCGAACAAGUACUGUGAGGGAAAGUUGAAAAGAACUCUGAAAAGAGAGUUAAAAGUACGUGAAACCGCUAACGGGGAAGCGGAAAGCAGUGUCGAGAUCUUGUGUGUGACUCUAGUUAAGUAUAUCACUUGCAAAAGUAAAUGUAUUUAUCUAGGCUAGCAUUACUUGAUGCGUCAGGCCUAUUGGUGCCAAAUAUGAUACAAUUAUUUACAUGGCCUGUAUGAUAGCUCAUGGCACAAUUUCCAAAUUGUACUGUGGGUCCAUUAAGGCGGUAGACAAUCAAUCGUAUGUGCUGAUAUGUGUGGUGAUGAGACGUUGAUGGUGUUUUAUUCUAUUACAUCGGUUGAUGUUAUACGAUACCGUAGAUUGAUUACAAUGUAGUCACAUAUGCGGGAUAUGUUGUGUAACUAUGCAAUAAUCAAUGUCAGUAUCUGACGAGAUACCCAACUUUCC
Molecule: ribosomal RNA, 763 nt
Filed under: Kudoa carcharhini
Lineage: Eukaryota; Metazoa; Cnidaria; Myxozoa; Multivalvulida; Kudoidae
Description: eukaryotic LSU rRNA
Rfam family: Eukaryotic large subunit ribosomal RNA
Source: RNAcentral